Molecule: ribosomal RNA, 963 nt
Filed under: Phytophthora cajani
Lineage: Eukaryota; Oomycota; Peronosporomycetes; Peronosporales; Peronosporaceae
Description: partial large subunit ribosomal RNA
Rfam family: Eukaryotic large subunit ribosomal RNA
Source: RNAcentral
UAGUACGGCGAGUAAGCGGAAAGAGCUCAAGCUUAAAAUCUCCGUGCAAGUUUUGUGCGGCGAAUUGUAGUCUAUAGAAGCGUGGUCAGCAUGGGCACUUGGGGCAAGUUCCUUGGAAGAGGACAGCAUGGAGGGUGAUACUCCCGUUCAUUUCUGAGUUGCUCGUGCGUACGACCCGUUUUCUUUGAGUCGCGUUGUUUGGGAAUGCAGCGCAAAGUAGGUGGUAAAUUCCAUCUAAAGCUAAAUAUUGGUGCGAGACCGAUAGCGAACAAGUACCGUGAGGGAAAGAUGAAAAGAACUUUGAAAAGAGAGUUAAAGAGUACCUGAAACUGCUGAAAGGGAACCGAAUCGUUUCCAGUGUCUAUAAUCCGUGGUAUAUUUCAUUGGCGAGUGUGUGCGUGCGUGUGCUGUGGCAGCGGCUUUUUUGGCUGCGCUCGGCGUGUGUGCUGUGUGUGCUUGCUGGUGCUCUGUGCUGCGGUGGGACGUCAAGGUCAGUUCGUAUGCUGCGGGAAAUGGCUGCCGAGGAGGUAGGGCUUACGCUUGCGUUUGUCUGUUAUAUCUUGGUGGACGAGUAGUCGCGGUUGGGACUGAGGUGCCUACAACGUGCUUUUGAGUGGGUUUGUGUCUCCGUGUGCGCCGUGUGCGGAUAGCUUGCUAUGCGUGUGUGGUUGUGUGUGGAUUGAUGCGAGCUUUAACUUGUUGCCGUUCGGGACGUUGACGAAAUGGAGCGAUUCGACCCGUCUUGAAACACGGACCAAGGAGUCUAACAUGUGUGCAAGUGUUAGGGUGUGGAAACCCCAGCGCGAAAUGAAAGUGAAGGGCAGCGUAAGUUGUCUGAGGUAGSAAAUGCUGCGGGCUUCGGUCUGCGGUGUGGCACUAUCGACCGAUCAUGAACCUUCGUGGUGAAAGAUUUGAGUUUGAGCACAUAUGUUGGUACCCGAAAGAUGGUGAACUAUGCCUGAG